CGGUCCUAAGGUAGCGAAAUUCCUUGUCGGGUAAGUUCCGACCUGCACGAAUGGCAUAAUGAUGGCCAGGCUGUCUCCACCCGAGACUCAGUGAAAUUGAAAUCGCCGUGAAGAUGCGGUGUACCCGCGGCUAGACGGAAAGACCCCGUGAACCUUUACUAUAGCUUGACACUGAACAUUGAAUUUUGAUGUGUAGGAUAGGUGGGAGACUUUGAAGUAGUCACGCCAGUGAUUAUGGAGUCGUCCUUGAAAUACCACCCUUUAACGUUUGAUGUUCUAACGAAGAUUGCGAAACGCGGUCUCGGACAGUGUCUGGUGGGUAGUUUGACUGGGGCGGUCUCCUCCCAAAGCGUAACGGAGGAGCACGAAGGUUUGCUAAUCACGGUCGGACAUCGUGAGGUUAGUGCAAUGGUAUAAGCAAGCUUAACUGCGAGACAGACAAGUCGAGCAGGUACGAAAGUAGGUCAUAGUGAUCCGGUGGUUCUGAAUGGAAGGGCCAUCGCUCAACGGAUAAAAGGUACUCCGGGGAUAACAGGCUGAUUCCUCCCAAGAGUCCAUAUCGACGGAGGAGUUUGGCACCUCGAUGUCGGCUCAUCACAUCCUGGGGCUGUAGCAGGUCCCAAGGGUAUGGCUGUUCGCCAUUUAAAGUGGUACGCGAGCUGGGUUCAGAACGUCGUGAGACAGUUCGGUCCCUAUCUGCCGUGGGCGUUGGAGAUUUGAGGGAAGCUGUUCUUAGUACGAGAGGACCGGAAUGGACGAACCUCUGGUGUACCGGUUGUCACGCCAGUGGCACAGCCGGGUAGCUAUGUUCGGAAGGGAUAACCGCUGAAAGCAUCUAAGCGGGAAGCCCCUCCCAAGAUAAGAUCUCCCUGAGACUAUAAGUCUCCUAAAGAUCCGUUGUAGACUACGACGUUGAUAGGCUCCAUGUGGAAGUAUAGUAAUAUAUGCAGCUAAGGAGUACUAAUUGAUCGUGAGGCUUGAUCAU
This 985-nucleotide ribosomal RNA is filed under the name human oral metagenome. RNAcentral describes it as "bacterial LSU rRNA". It matches the Rfam family "Bacterial large subunit ribosomal RNA", at positions 1946 to 2925 of the family's 2925-position model. The record is from RNAcentral.